Molecule: ribosomal RNA, 301 nt
Filed under: uncultured bacterium
Lineage: Bacteria
Description: partial 16S ribosomal RNA
Rfam family: Bacterial small subunit ribosomal RNA
Source: RNAcentral
CAGCAGCCACGGUAAUACGAAGGGUGCAAGCGUUACUCGGAAUUACUGGGCGUAAAGCGUGCGUAGGUGGUGGUUUAAGUCCGUUGUGAAAGCCCUGGGCUCAACCUGGGAAUUGCAGUGGAUACUGGGUCACUAGAGUGUGGUAGAGGAUAGUGGAAUUUCCGGUGUAGCAGUGAAAUGCGUAGAGAUCGGAAGGAACAUCUGUGGCGAAGGCGACUAUCUGGGCCAACACUGACACUGAGGCACGAAAGCGUGGGGAGCAAACAGGAUUAGAUACCCGGGUAGUCCCUGUCUCUUAUAC